RNAcentral lists this ribosomal RNA (474 nucleotides) under uncultured soil bacterium. Its description in RNAcentral is "bacterial SSU rRNA". It matches the Rfam family "Bacterial small subunit ribosomal RNA", at positions 26 to 498 of the family's 1533-position model. The record is from RNAcentral.
AGAUUGAACGCUGGCGGCAGGCCUAACACAUGCAAGUCGAGCGGCAGCACGGGUACUUGUACCUGGUGGCGAGCGGCGGACGGGUGAGUAAUGCCUAGGAAUCUGCCUGGUAGUGGGGGAUAACGCUCGGAAACGGACGCUAAUACCGCAUACGUCCUACGGGAGAAAGCAGGGGACCUUCGGGCCUUGCGCUAUCAGAUGAGCCUAGGUCGGAUUAGCUAGUUGGUGAGGUAAUGGCUCACCAAGGCGACGAUCCGUAACUGGUCUGAGAGGAUGAUCAGUCACACUGGAACUGAGACACGGUCCAGACUCCUACGGGAGCAGCAGUGGGAAUAUUGGACAAGUGGGCGAAAGCCUGAUCCAGCCAUGCCGCGUGUGUGAAGAAGGUCUUCGGAUUGUAAAGCUACGUUUAAGUUGGAGGAAGGCAGUUACCUAAUACGUAUCUGUUUGACGUUACGACAGAAUAGCACGGCU